RNAcentral lists this long non-coding RNA (1192 nucleotides) under Setaria viridis. RNAcentral describes it as "long non-coding RNA (SVIR_LNC011005)". The record is from RNAcentral. Lineage: Eukaryota; Viridiplantae; Streptophyta; Magnoliopsida; Poales; Poaceae.
CCUGGGGUGCAUGCCCGACACUCACUUCUAGGUGGCAGAACCAACCUACGAUGAAGUCCAAAUUCUUGUGAUCCCGGGUGAUAGAGCCAACCUUCGAUGGAUCAUAACUUAUGUACUAAGUAUUUAGAAACUACAACCCAACCGGGAAACUAAUAGUUACAAGAGACUUUAUUAGAACACAACAAUACUACACAAGAGUGUACAACACUCUGUCUUUAGUGGCUAGCCUAGCACUCACCUUUUUCUCACUGUCACACUACCACGCUCCCCUCAUCCACCAUGCUAAUGGUUGAAUGGCAUGGCAAGUGAGGGGGUUCUAUUUAUAGGUAAAGGGGGUCAUGAGAUUGAGACAAGUGUCCUCCUUUCUAGAGACUUCCUAGAUAUUACAACAUUUACUAAUUUAUUUUAUUACCAAGGUCGAUAUCUUCUCCUUACACGAUGGACAAAACUCUAGAAGGUUUUUGCCUUGCUUACUUUCAACAUUCUCCCUCAAGGAAAAAAUCUUUUCAAAUUUAUCCGGCAGACCAUGCCAAGCGCCUCUUGAAACUUCUCAAAAUUUAGUUUUUUAGACUCUUUGUGAGUAUGUGGACGGUUUUUCUAUCUUGGUAGGCACCAUUGCAAUCUCACCCUCAAGGACAUUUUUUCAUAUGUAGCGGUAGUGAACUUGUAUGUGUUUGAUCCUUGUUUGGACGACUGGAUUUUCUACCAAACGAACAGACGGUAGAUUAUCAUAGAAAUCCUUACUUGGUAUUCUGUUGGCCAGUCAGGGGUAGGCCUAAAUGUAUUUCAAGGGUAUUCAAUUGAAUACACAUUAUUUUUUGCAACAAGUUCAUGUAUGUAGUGUAUAACACAUAUACCUAUUCAGAAAAUAGAAAAUGGCACCACAAAAACAGGCUUUCUAAUAUGUCCUUGCCUUCGUGAGCCCAAAAAGAGAUUAGCCCACACUCCCCUCCCUCCCCAAGGCCUAGAAAUGGCCCAAAGUUGGCCCUGCAGACUGUCGAGUCGCCAUCUCGGAGUCUUCCCGAUCCCCUCCCGACUGCCUCUCUCUCGCUCAUCCCCGAAGUCUCGAACUAGACAGUCGACAGUGCAUGCAUGGAGCUUCAGCCUUGGGAGCAGGCCGAGCGGGCUGCCGAGCAUAGGGCGGCAGGCUUCCCAGCUCUAAUGUCCUUCCCAGCUUCCCUGUUCCGUCUUG